Molecule: ribosomal RNA, 249 nt
Filed under: uncultured organism
Description: partial 16S ribosomal RNA
Rfam family: Bacterial small subunit ribosomal RNA
Source: RNAcentral
UGGGGAAUCUUGCGCAAUGGGCGAAAGCCUGACGCAGCGACGCCGCGUGGGGGAAGAAGGCCUUCGGGUUGUAAACCUCUUUUCAGGGAGACGAGAAAGGACGGUAUCCCUGGAAUAAGUCACGGCUAACUACGUGCCAGCAGCCGCGGUAAUACGUAGGCAGCAAACGUUGUUCGGAGUUACUGGGCGUAAAGAGUACGUAGGCGGUUUGCUAAGGUUGGUGUGAAAUAUCCCGGCUUACAUGGGGGG